UGUCCGAUGGUGUAAUGGCAACACGGCAGAUUUUGGUUCUGCAAUUCUAGGUUCGAGCCCUAGUCGGACAA
Molecule: transfer RNA, 71 nt
Filed under: Bacteroidota bacterium
Lineage: Bacteria; Pseudomonadati; Bacteroidota
Description: Bacteroidetes bacterium (groundwater metagenome) tRNA-Gln
Rfam family: tRNA
About the family: Transfer RNA (tRNA) molecules are approximately 80 nucleotides in length. Their secondary structure includes four short double-helical elements and three loops (D, anti-codon, and T loops).
Source: RNAcentral